CCUACGGGGGGCUGCAGUGGGGAAUAUUGGACAAUGGGGAGAACCCUGAUCCAGCCAUGCCGCGUGUGUGAAGAAGGCCCUCGGGUUGUAAAGCACUUUCAGUGAGGAAGAACGCCUGGUGGUUAAUACCCAUCAGGAAAGACAUCACUCACAGAAGAAGCACCGGCUAACUCCGUGCCAGCAGCCGCGGGAAUACGGAGGGUGCGAGCGUUAAUCGGAAUUACUGGGCGUAAAGCGCGCGUAGGUGGCUUGAUAAGCCGGUUGUGAAAGCCCCGGGCUCAACCUGGGAACGGCAUCCGGAACUGUCAAGCUAGAGUGCAGGAGAGGAAGGUAGAAUUCCCGGUGUAGCGGUGAAAUGCGUAGAGAUCGGGAGGAAUACCAGUGGCGAAGGCGGCCUUCUGGACUGACACUGACACUGAGGUGCGAAAGCGUGGGUAGCAAACAGGAUUAGAUACCCUGGUAGUC
Molecule: ribosomal RNA, 465 nt
Filed under: Vreelandella stevensii
Lineage: Bacteria; Pseudomonadati; Pseudomonadota; Gammaproteobacteria; Oceanospirillales; Halomonadaceae
Description: partial 16S ribosomal RNA
Rfam family: Bacterial small subunit ribosomal RNA
Source: RNAcentral